This 2249-nucleotide long non-coding RNA is filed under the name Gossypium barbadense (sea-island cotton). RNAcentral describes it as "long non-coding RNA (GBAR_LNC015045)". The record is from RNAcentral. Lineage: Eukaryota; Viridiplantae; Streptophyta; Magnoliopsida; Malvales; Malvaceae.
CUACAUUCAAAUCUCACUAUAAUAAUAUUUUUUAAAAAUAUUUUACAUAGGAAAAUAAAAAGACUAACACUCUCGUAAUAAUAUUUGUUGACUUUUAGUCAUUUCCCAACUGAGUUGGUCUCUUGUUGACUUGUGACUACAACUAAGUCUUUAACAUAAGAAAUAAUACUAGAUUAUGACAAACCUACGUUGUGGGUGAAAACAAAUUUUCUAACAAAUAUUCUUGGAACCUACUGUUGAUAAUUGCAAACAGAACAAAUUGUGUAAAUAAAAGUGCUAGUUGUAGUGCCCACUACAGGUGGCACUGAGACAAGAACGAAGAAAAACUCAAGCAAACUGUUCACACAGUUUGGUCUAACUGCGUCUAUGGAGCUUAACUCAAUGAAAUAAGCCACUAUCUUUAAAUCUAAUACGACAAGUGAUUCAAGUCUUUUAACACCUCAAUAUGACAACCACACUUUUGUAUCUAAAGAUCUACAUCAAUCACUUCUAAGUUCCAUUCAAAACUUAGGUUGUAAACCAAAAAAAAAAAACUUGUUUACUCUCUCAAUGCACUCCUAAUAACAAGUUCCUCAAUGAACAUAUAAAUACUAUAAAUUCUCGAUACUAAACCUAUACAGGUCUCUUCAAAUAUAUAAGAGUUCGAGACUUGUUAACAUAUCAGAUCAAUUACAAUUAAUUCUCCUAUAAAAGUGAAGCUAAAAACAACAUAUACAAUAAAAUAAUAAAGUCUAAGAUAAUUUUGAAUUGUUGGAUAUAAAUCUUCAAUGUAGUCCCAUACAAUCUCCUUAGUUUAUGGGGAUCUGAUCACUCAUAAACAUGUUAUCAUUUAUAAUAUAAAUAUCACACAAAAAAUAUAUAAAAGUCAAUUGGCGGUGUUCGCAAGUAUAUGAGUCAAAUUGUAAUAUAGUAAUUGUGUUAUGAAGGAACACAGGAAAAUAUUCUAAGGAUUGUACCCAAGGGAGGAUGAAAUAAAUCUAUCGAAAAUCUCUUUACAAUAAUAAGUCUAAAUAGUAAUAAUUAAAUCCUAUAUUAUGACAAAUGAUAAAAUAGAUAAAUAAUAGAAAUUAAAUAAUCUAAUUAAAUAAAAAAACAACUAAAUCGAUAAAACCAAUCAAAAAGAUUAACUCAUUUUAAGGGUUGUAAUUAACUUCAAAUUAGGGUUUGAAGGUGGAUUAGUAAUAGGCAUCGAAACCACCAAAUAUAAAUUCCUACGACAAAAUAACAAUAAUUAGCAGUAUAGAGCAGUAGGGUCGAAUCCACAGGGGUUGACUAUCUAAUUUCACCUUUUUUCGUGACCAGAAUCGCUGUCGCGGUCACAGUCGUGCCCACGACCUGCGCGUAGAAAUGCUGAAAGUAAAAAUAAAAAUGAGGGUUUAAAUUGAUUAAGAUAAUAAAAUAAGGAAAUAAAAUAAAAAAAGAUUCGAAAAUGCAAAAAUAAAUUUAAGAAAAUAAAAGAAAUGGACAAAUAAAAUAUUUUUUAAGCUUAGCCUUAGCCUCGGUAUACUCCAAUCUUGAAUCGAUCUUUGAAAUAGAUUUUCCCUUCCAAGUGAUAAGCUGAUUAUAGCAAUCGAUGAUCCCUCAAACCGCUAACUCUUCCUCUCGUAGUCAAUCUUGGUAUCACUUGCAAAUUGACCCUUGUUGAAUUUACAGCCACGUGGCACGUACCCGUAAUUUAAGACUUCGACAGCCUUGCGAUAUGAAAAGCCUAACUCGAAUUAAUGACCUCAACCGUGUGGGUCGUUUAAAUCCGAUCGCUGUCUCCCUUGACGGAAUCCAACUAGCUUUUUCCAAUUGAACAUGCCAAUUUGUUCGUAGGAUUUUGAAUACAGCACUGCCGAUUUAACUUCCCAACUGUACACCAAACGAUUCUAACCCAACGCGCGCUUUUUGAAUUGAAAUCGAAUCAACUUUGAGGGACGAAUUUGUAUUAUCCCAUAUAUCAGAGAGAUAUCGAAUACCGAAUUGCAAAGUAUUUAGUGUGGGUUCAUAUCUCAUGAUUAUUUUGUUGAAGUGAUAACCGGGCUAAGGCUAAAAAUGGUUUAGUUAAUCAUGGAAAGAGUCAUGCUUAAAAAUAAAUGGUUUAAAUGGAAUUGUGGAAAGCAGAAAGGGGAAAGACCUUAAAAGGUAAUUAAACCAAAAGGUUGAAAUCAAAAGAAAAAAAAAAGAGAAUGAAAUGGCAUAAUUGAAUGGCAAAGACGUAGGAGAGAAAAAAAUAGAGAAUUUAUUAAAUGCCAAAGGCAAAGUGU